Solanum tuberosum (potato) is the source of this 335-nucleotide long non-coding RNA. RefSeq lists it as uncharacterized. The transcript has 3 exons. Lineage: Eukaryota; Viridiplantae; Streptophyta; Magnoliopsida; Solanales; Solanaceae. The record is from RefSeq and is a predicted model, not a curated record.
GCAAAUAUCCCGUCUCUAAAGCUGAAAUACACUAAAGGAGGCUCUUAAAUAAUUUCUCUCUGAAAGCCCUAGAAUUCCUAAAACUCACAAAUUGCUCGUCUCUCAGAAGGUGGGAGCAAAACCUUCUUGUCUACCACUGCUAUUCUACAUCAAGAGAGAAUGACUAUUCUAAUUGUUGAAGAUACCAAGUAUUGCUAACAAGUCAAGUUGUAGAAAAAGAAGACUUGGAUACAAGUUGACAAGUUUCUUAGUUAUUUUUCUUGUAUUAGGUGAAUAAUUGUGUAAAAAAUACAAUGACUUAUGUUAUUGUUAUAUAAUUUUGGUAUUGCGAUUUU